This 506-nucleotide ribosomal RNA is filed under the name uncultured bacterium. RNAcentral describes it as "partial 16S ribosomal RNA". It matches the Rfam family "Bacterial small subunit ribosomal RNA", at positions 29 to 523 of the family's 1533-position model. The record is from RNAcentral.
AGUGAACGCUGGCGGUAGGCCUAACACAUGCAAGUCGAACGGCAGCACAGGAGAGCUUGCUCUCUGGGUGGCGAGUGGCGGACGGGUGAGGAAUACAUCGGAAUCUACUCUGUCGUGGGGGAUAACGUAGGGAAACUUACGCUAAUACCGCAUACGACCUACGGGUGAAAGCAGGGGACCUUCGGGCCUUGCGCGAUUGAAUGAGCCGAUGUCGGAUUAGCUAGUUGGCGGGGUAAAGGCCCACCAAGGCGACGAUCCGUAGCUGGUCUGAGAGGAGGAUCAGCCACACUGGAACUGAGACACGGUCCAGACUCCGACGGGAGGCAGCAGUGGGGAAUAUUGGACAAUGGGAGCAAGCCUGAUCCAGCCAUCCCGCGUGGGUGAAGAAGGCCUUCGGGUUGUAAAGCCCUUUUGUUGGGAAAGAAAUCCAGCUGGCUAAUACCCGGUUGGGAUGACGGUACCCAAAGAAUAAGCACCGGCUAACUUCGUGCCAGCCGCCGCCGUAA